AGCUUUGCGUGGUGUCGCUAUCAUAGCCAAUGAGGUUUAUCCGAGGCAUGAUUAUUGCUAAUUGAAACUUUAGAAAAAAAG
This 81-nucleotide small nuclear RNA is filed under the name Tupaia belangeri chinensis (Chinese tree shrew). Its description in RNAcentral is "Tupaia chinensis (Chinese tree shrew) U4 spliceosomal RNA". It matches the Rfam family "U4 spliceosomal RNA", at positions 1 to 81 of the family's 138-position model. Rfam says of the family: U4 small nuclear RNA (U4 snRNA) is a component of the major U2-dependent spliceosome. The structure of U4 snRNA from yeast and human has been reported. U4 snRNA presents a k-turn RNA motif in the 5p-SL related to recognition of Snu13 protein. Lineage: Eukaryota; Metazoa; Chordata; Mammalia; Scandentia; Tupaiidae. The record is from Rfam by way of RNAcentral.